ACCCGCUGAAUUUAAGCAUAUAAGUAGGCGGUGGAAAAUGAACCAAAUGGGAUUCCUUAAGUAAUUGCGAAUGAACAAGGAAAUGCUCAGCUUGAAAAAUGGGGCCUUCGGCUUUGAAUUGUAAUUUUGAAAUGUAUUGCCAAUGGAGGCGCAGGUGCAAGCCUAUUGAAAGAAAGCGUCAAUGAGGGUGAGAUUCCUUUUUGUCAUUUGCAGUCCUCCGUGCGCGGUAUAUAUUUGACGAGUCACACUCCUCGGCAUUGGAAUGCAAAGUGGGUGGUAAAUUCCAUGUAAAGGUAAAUAUAUUAUUGAGACUGAUAGCAAACAAGUACCAUGAGGGAAAUAUGAAAAGGACUCUGAAAAGAGAAUUAAAAGAGUCUGCAUUUGCUGAACAGAAAGCAAACAGAAUUGAUCUUACUUGGUGAGAUUGUUGUGCCCACUUUAGCAUUUAUAUGUUGGAUGUGGGUGCGAUGGUUCUUGCCUUGAAUGUCAGCUUCUAUUUCUGCAAAUCAUUACCCUUGCACGUGAAUGGUAAUUUGCCUGUGGGUAUUGGAAUGCAUGUGUUUGCAAUGAUUUGUGAUUUGAUAUGUGUGAUUGGUGCUACUUGCGUGUUGCUCCUUUGUCAACGGGGAAGGCUGUCUUCCUUGAGCCCGCAAGCCCAAACACCUUACUGCUGGCAAAAUGUUUCUGCUUGACCCGUCUUGAAACACGGACCAAGGAGUCUAACAGAUGUGCAAGUUCGUGGGUGGGCAAACCUUUUAGCGCAAUGAAAGUAUUGGCUGGGAUACUUGCACCAGCAGCCGACCGAUUAGCAGACAGAGGUUUGAGUUUGAGCAUAUCUAUUAGGACCCGAAAGAUGGUGAACUAUGCCUGAACAGAAUGAAUUCAGAGGAAACUCUGAUGGAGGUUCGUAUCGAUACUGACGUGCAAAUCGUUCGUCAUACUUGGGUAUAGGGGCGAAAGACUAAUCGAACCAUCUAGUAGCUGGUUCCCUCCGAAGUUUCCCUCAGGAUAGCUGGAGUUGCACAGUUUUAUCAGGUAAAGCGAAUGAUUAGAGGAAUUGGGGACACGCUGUCCUUGACCUAUUCUCAAACUUUAAAUGGGUAAGAUGCAAUGGUUGCUUUAUUGAACUUUUGGAAUAAAUGGCAAUAUCAGGUGGGCCAUUUUUGGUAAGCAGAACUGGCGAUGAGGGAUGAACCUAACGUUGGGUUAAGGUGCUUAAUUGCUUGCUCAUUAGAUACCAGAAAGGGUGUUGGUUCAUUUUAACAGCAGGACGGUGGUCAUGGAAGUCGAAAUCCGCUAAGGAGUGUGUAACAACUCACCUGCCGAAUGGACUAGCCCCGAAAAUGGAUGGCGCUCAAGCGGGUGACCGAUACCCAACCACUGUUGCAAAAAGUAUCAGUGUGUAGGAGGGCAUGGCGGUUUGUGAUGCAGCCUUUGGUGAAAACCUGGGUGAAACAGCUCCUAGUGCAGAUCUUGGUGGUAGUAGC
Molecule: ribosomal RNA, 1487 nt
Filed under: Alexandrium insuetum
Lineage: Eukaryota; Dinophyceae; Gonyaulacales; Pyrocystaceae
Description: partial large subunit ribosomal RNA
Rfam family: Eukaryotic large subunit ribosomal RNA
Source: RNAcentral